GAGCUGGUAGUUCAGUGGUAGAAUUCUUGCUUCCCAUGCAGGAGACCCAGGCUCGAUUCCCAGCCAACGCA
This 71-nucleotide transfer RNA is filed under the name Loxodonta africana (African savanna elephant). It matches the Rfam family "tRNA". Rfam says of the family: Transfer RNA (tRNA) molecules are approximately 80 nucleotides in length. The record is from Rfam by way of RNAcentral. Lineage: Eukaryota; Metazoa; Chordata; Mammalia; Proboscidea; Elephantidae.